This 435-nucleotide ribosomal RNA is filed under the name Triticum aestivum (bread wheat). RNAcentral describes it as "partial small subunit ribosomal RNA". Lineage: Eukaryota; Viridiplantae; Streptophyta; Magnoliopsida; Poales; Poaceae. The record is from RNAcentral.
AUGCAGGUGGAGUACAGGGCCUUGAUGGAGAACCGGACGUGGACUCUCGUCCCACGCCGGCCGGGGGCCAACAUAGUCACUGGCAAGUGGCUCUUCCGCCACAAACUCAAGGCCGACGGCACGCUGGAGCGGUACAAGGCACGCUGGGUCGUGCGUGGCUUCUCGCAACGGCCCGGUGUUGACUUCGACGAGACGUACUUGCCCGUCGUCAAGGCGGCCACCAUCCGCGUCGUGCUCACCAUCGCCGCUGCUCGCAAGUGGCCAGUUCACCAUAUGGACGUGAACAAUGCGUUCCUCCAUGGACGCCUCGCCGAGCGUGUCUACUGCCAACAGCCGGUCGGGUUCGUCGACGCCAGCCGCCCCGACCACGUGUGCCUCCUCGACAAGUCCCUCUACGGCUUGAAGCAGGCACCACGUGCCUGGUUUGCGCGCUUU